RNAcentral lists this long non-coding RNA (669 nucleotides) under Solanum melongena (eggplant). Its description in RNAcentral is "long non-coding RNA (SMEL_LNC000205)". Lineage: Eukaryota; Viridiplantae; Streptophyta; Magnoliopsida; Solanales; Solanaceae. The record is from RNAcentral.
GAAUGUGAAGACCAACAAAGCUGUAUCCUUCCUGUUUCUGCGGAUGCACGCCAAGGUACUCUCUCCUUUCCCAUUGUUUCAGGACCAAAUCCUCUGAAGAUUCUCUAUCUAGCUUCUUUUGGGGCAUUCUCUUCACAACUUCUGCCCUGAAUCCUUCAACACCCUGAAUCAUUCAAAUUUAACAGGGAGAAAAUGAUACCGGUUAGAUCAUCUACCGAAAAGUUUGGUUCUGCCAAAAAGCGAUAUAGUAUUACAUCAGCUAACACUAGUAAGCACUUCUAUUCAAAACCAAUAUGUCAUCAUGGAACUCAUGUUUCCCUAUCAACACCGUGUAUGCUAUGACUUUACCAACUCCAAUUGAGGCCAUACGAAUGACAAAUUAUUAUUUUUAACAAGUAAAACAUAAACCAACUAAGCAAUGCUACUCACCAGUUCGUCAAUUAACCACAUCAUUCUUGUUUUCUGCCUGUUCCCUCGGGUACCAAGAUCUCUAUAAGCUUCUAAUAUAGCUUUGCAAACAGGGACUACAUCAUCAGCUGGAACCCAUGCAUCAAGAGGAAUUGCCUCUGCACAUCGCUUCGGACUGAAGAAUCCACCCACAAGCAGGUUGAAUCCAAAUCGUCCAUCUUUGGUUGCAGGCAUAUACGCAAGAUCAUUGAUAUGCGGAUG